Molecule: ribosomal RNA, 688 nt
Filed under: Escherichia coli
Lineage: Bacteria; Pseudomonadati; Pseudomonadota; Gammaproteobacteria; Enterobacterales; Enterobacteriaceae
Description: partial 23S ribosomal RNA
Rfam family: Bacterial large subunit ribosomal RNA
Source: RNAcentral
CCUUGAAAUACCACCCUUUAAUGUUUGAUGUUCUAACGUUGGCCCCUGAUCGGGGUUGCGGACAGUGUCUGGUGGGUAGUUUGACUGGGGCGGUCUCCUCCUAAAGAGUAACGGAGGAGCACGAAGGUUGGCUAAUCCUGGUCGGACAUCAGGAGGUUAGUGCAAUGGCAUAAGCCAGCUUGACUGCGAGCGUGACGGCGCGAGCAGGUGCGAAAGCAGGUCAUAGUGAUCCGGUGGUUCUGAAUGGAAGGGCCAUCGCUCAACGGAUAAAAGGUACUCCGGGGAUAACAGGCUGAUACCGCCCAAGAGUUCAUAUCGACGGCGGUGUUUGGCACCUCGAUGUCGGCUCAUCACAUCCUGGGGCUGAAGUAGGUCCCAAGGGUAUGGCUGUUCGCCAUUUAAAGUGGUACGCGAGCUGGGUUUAGAACGUCGUGAGACAGUUCGGUCCCUAUCUGCCGUGGGCGCUGGAGAACUGAGGGGGGCUGCUCCUAGUACGAGAGGACCGGAGUGGACGCAUCACUGGUGUUCGGGUUGUCAUGCCAAUGGCACUGCCCGGUAGCUAAAUGCGGAAGAGAUAAGUGCUGAAAGCAUCUAAGCACGAAACUUGCCCCGAGAUGAGUUCUCCCUGAGACUUUAAGUCUCCUGAAGGAACGUUGAAGACGACGACGUUGAUAGGCCGGGUGUGUAA